RNAcentral lists this ribosomal RNA (460 nucleotides) under uncultured bacterium. RNAcentral describes it as "partial 16S ribosomal RNA". It matches the Rfam family "Bacterial small subunit ribosomal RNA", at positions 338 to 795 of the family's 1533-position model. The record is from RNAcentral.
CCUACGUGGGGCAGCAGUGAGGAAUAUUGGUCAAUGGGCGCGAGCCUGAACCAGCCAAGUAGCGUGAAGGAUGACUGCCCUACGGGUUUUAAACUUCUUUUUUAAAGGAAUAAAGUGAGGCACGUGUGCCUUUUUGUAUGUACUUUCUGAAUAAGGAUCGGCUAACUCCGUGCCAGCAGCCGCGGUAAUACGGAGGAUGCGAGCGUUAUCCGGAUUUAUUGGGUUUAAAGGGAGCGUAGAUGGGUUGUUAAGUCAGUUGUGAAAGUUUGCGGCUCAACCGUAAAAUUGCAAUUGAUACUGGCAGUCUUGAGUACAGUUGAGGUAGGCGGAAUUCGUGGUGUAGCGGUGAAAUGCUUAGAUAUCACGAAGAACUCCGAUUGCGAAGGCAGCUUACUAAACUGCCACUGACAUUGAUGCUCGAAAGUGUGGGUAUCAAACAGGAUUAGAUACCCGAGUAGUC